AUUUUUUUAAUAACAAAACAUUUUACUUAUAAAUCGUUUAAAAACAUUGCAUUUAUGAAAUGUAAAAUAAGAAAAAUAUGACUAACAUCGACAUGUUUGUUUAUGCUUUGAUCACCUUUCUUUUUACGUUUCUUAAUGAACUCUCUGCUUAUAAGAUAACUGAUAUCCCUUGCAAAGUUGAUAGUGAUUGUCCACCAAGGACAAUUUUGAUUCAGUGGCGGUGCCGAAAAAAUUUUUGUGUGAAAUAUUAUUCGUGAGGAAACAUUUAUUAAGUUUUGCUAGCUCAUGUCGAUUUGUAACAUCAUGUAUUAAUUUCUAGAAUAAAAUAUUAUAUCUUCUGAUAAUAAAUACUAGAUCGCAUGCCCGUGA
Long non-coding RNA from Trifolium pratense (red clover), 369 nucleotides. RefSeq lists it as uncharacterized. The transcript is spliced from 3 exons. The record is from RefSeq and is a predicted model, not a curated record. Lineage: Eukaryota; Viridiplantae; Streptophyta; Magnoliopsida; Fabales; Fabaceae.